GGAUUGUGGCUCAGUGGUAGAGUGCUUGCCUAGCAUGCAUGAGGUACUGAGUUUGAUUCUCAGCACCA
RNAcentral lists this transfer RNA (68 nucleotides) under Marmota monax (woodchuck). RNAcentral's name for it is "tRNA.Ala". The stretch from base 5 to 65 matches the Rfam family "tRNA", at positions 6 to 65 of the family's 71-position model. Rfam says of the family: Transfer RNA (tRNA) molecules are approximately 80 nucleotides in length. The record is from RNAcentral. Lineage: Eukaryota; Metazoa; Chordata; Mammalia; Rodentia; Sciuridae.